RNAcentral lists this ribosomal RNA (305 nucleotides) under uncultured bacterium. Its description in RNAcentral is "bacterial SSU rRNA". It matches the Rfam family "Bacterial small subunit ribosomal RNA", at positions 333 to 635 of the family's 1533-position model. The record is from RNAcentral.
GGAUUCCUACGGGAGGCAGCAGUGAGGAAUAUUGGUCAAUGGGCGCGAGCCUGAACCAGCCCAGUAGCGUGAAGGAUGACUGCCCUACGGGUUGUAAACUUCUUUUAUAAAGGAAUAAAGUGAGGCACGUGUGCCUUUUUGUAUGUACUUUAUGAAUAAGGAUCGGCUAACUCCGUGCCAGCAGCCGCGGUACUACGGAGGAUCCGAGCGUUAUCCGGAUUUAUUGGGUUUAAAGGGAGCGUAGAUGGGUUGUUAAGUCAGUUGUGAAAGUUUGCGGCUCAACCGGAAUAUUGCAAUUGAUACUG